This 401-nucleotide long non-coding RNA is filed under the name Homo sapiens (human). RNAcentral's name for it is "non-protein coding lnc-USH2A-3:2". Lineage: Eukaryota; Metazoa; Chordata; Mammalia; Primates; Hominidae. The record is from RNAcentral.
UGGUUGCCGGUCGCACAUGGAUUCGGUAGAACUUUGCCUUCCUGAAUCUUUUUCCCUGCACUACGAGGAAGGCUUCUCUGCAGAAUGUCAAACAAAGAUCGACACAUUGAUUCCAGCUGUUCGUCCUUCAUCAAGACGGAACCUUCCAGCCCAGCCUCCCUGACGGACAGCGUCAACCACCACAGCCCUGGUGGCUCUUCAGACGCCAGUGGGAGCUACAGUUCAACCAUGAAUGGCCAUCAGAACGGACUUGACUCGCCACCUCUCUACCCUUCUGCUCCUAUCCUGGGAGGUAGUGGGCCUGUCAGGAAACUGUAUGAUGACUGCUCCAGCACCAUUGUUGAAGAUCCCCAGACCAAGUGUGAAUACAUGCUCAACUCGAUGCCCAAGAGACUGUGUUU